RNAcentral lists this ribosomal RNA (1467 nucleotides) under Triticum aestivum (bread wheat). Its description in RNAcentral is "partial small subunit ribosomal RNA". The record is from RNAcentral. Lineage: Eukaryota; Viridiplantae; Streptophyta; Magnoliopsida; Poales; Poaceae.
AUGUUGGGCUCUGGUGUUAUUAGAAGGAGUAAUAGUCCCUUUUCUUCACCUAUCUUAUUGGUCAAAAAGAAAGAUCAUACUUGGAGGAUUGUAGUGGACUACAUACAUUUAAAUGCACUUACAGUCAAGGGAAAUUAUCCUAUGCCUGUGAUAGAUGAGCUCCUAGAUGAAUUAUAUGGUGCUCAAUGGUUUACAAAGCUGGAUCUCAGGGCUGGUUAUCAUCAAAUUAGAUUAGCACCUGGAGAGGAAUACAAGACAGCUUUCCAAACCCACCAUGGUCAUUUUGAGUUUCUGGUGGUUGGUUUUGGCUUAACAUGGGCACCUAACACCUUCCAAGGUGCCAUCAAUGUUUCUCUAUCACAAGAACCUGAAAUGCUGAGAACUUUUGUAUUGGCCUUCUUUGAUGAUAUUCUGAUUUUCAGUAAAACACUGAAGCAGCAUUUGGAACAUGUCAGAAGAGUGUUGGAAGUACUCAGAAAGGACAAGUGGUAUGUCAAAUUUUCCAAAUUUGAGUUUGCCUCUCAAAAGUUAUUGUAUCUGGGUCACAUUAUCAACAAGGAUGGUGUUUCUACUAACCCUGAGAAGGUCAGUACUAUUGAGCAAUGGCCCACACCAAUGUCAGUAAAGGAGGUGAGAAGUUUUCUUGGGCUGGCUGGCUACUACAGGAAAUUCAUUCGUCACUUUGGAGUUAUUGCUAAACCCAUGACUAAUCUCCUACGCAAAGGCAGUGUGUUCGUUUGGACUAGCAUAGAAGAAACAGCUUUCCAGACUCUUAAAAGGGCUCUGGUUACUGCUCCUGUUUUGGCUCUUCUAAAUUUUCAGAAAACCUUCACUAUUGAAACAGAUGCUAGUGAUUGUGGGAUUGGGGCUGUACUAACACAGGAUGGGCAUCCUCUGGCUUUUGUUAGCAGGGCUUUGGGACCAAAAAACCAGACACUGUCAGUUUAUGAAAAGGAGUUUUUGGCAAUUCUCUUAGUAGUGGAGCAGUGGCGAUCUUAUCUGCAACUGAAAGAAUUCAGCAUUAUCACUGAUAAAAAAGCCCUGGUUAGUUUAACAGAACAACGCUUGCACACUACCUGGCAACAAAAAGCUCUCACUAAGCUAUGGGGUUUGGAUUAUAAGAUUGUGUACAGGAAGGGGGCAGAUAACAGAGUUGCAGACGCCUUAUCUAGACGUCCGCAUGAGCCUGGUGACUGCUAUAUAAUUUCGGAAGUACAACCAGCAUGGCUGCAAGAGAUCAUGAACAGUUACUACCAUGAUCCUAGUGCAACAACCAUUUUGCAAAAACUAUCUGUUGAUCCAACGUCAGAUCCUAAGUUCACAUUGCAUGGUGGUCUGCUUCGUUUCAAGAAGCACAUUUGGAUUGGUUCUGACAAAAGUCUGCAGCACAAAAUCAUCAAUAGUUUGCAUCCCAGUUCAGCCGGUGGACAUUCUGGUUUCCCAGUUACUUACCGCAGAAUAUCAUAG